AAACUCAGUUUCAGCUUCUUCAGCAAAAAUCAGUCAGCCCUCAGAAUUCACUGCAUUUUUAAUGAAAAACAUUGUUUUUCUACUUUAAGAUUUUUCAAUUAUUUGCUGAAUAAUCUUGCUACAAUAACAUUAACAGUGCCACGUGUGUCUGAUGGUUGGAUAUGUUUAGGAGAACGCCGGGCAGACAGACUGACAGGGGAGGACUGGUGUCCAAAGUCACGACCCUGCCCUGACCUGCGUGAAGGAAAUGGUCACGCUGCUCGAGACAAAGCAGGGCAGAGGAGAGUCUGAGGGGGCUGGCUGCUCGGCUCCUAACAAUGGGCCUUCGACACAGUUCAUUCUCGGCUCGAGGGGAAGUGCAGGAGGAAACUCUUGUGAUCAGGCCGUCACUUCCUGCGCACGGCUCUGUUGUUCCAGAGAGCGUCUGUGAAGGAGCCAAGUGGCCCGGGCAGAGACAGAAGGUGGGCUCCUCGCAUAAAUCUGACGGCUGUCAGCCCGGCAGGGGAAGGGAGGUUCUCCUGGCGGGCCAAGACGUGGAGAAAACAAACGUGAGGAUGAAACGAGACAGCAAAGACCACCUUACUGUAAAUCAGACAUGAUUUGUUGGUACAAUAAAGAAAACAAGAAAGACUUAA
Molecule: long non-coding RNA, 635 nt
Organism: Austrofundulus limnaeus
Lineage: Eukaryota; Metazoa; Chordata; Actinopteri; Cyprinodontiformes; Rivulidae
Exons: 2
Source: RefSeq, a predicted model, not a curated record